This 484-nucleotide ribosomal RNA is filed under the name uncultured bacterium. Its description in RNAcentral is "partial 16S ribosomal RNA". It matches the Rfam family "Bacterial small subunit ribosomal RNA", at positions 30 to 507 of the family's 1533-position model. The record is from RNAcentral.
AUUGAACGCUGGCGGCAGGCCUAACACAUGCAAGUCGAGCGGAUGAAGGGAGCUUGCUCCUGGAUUCAGCGGCGGACGGGUGAGUAAUGCCUAGGAAUCUGCCUGGUAGUGGGGGAUAACGUCCGGAAACGGGCGCUAAUACCGCAUACGUCCUGAGGGAGAAAGUGGGGGAUCUUCGGACCUCACGCUAUCAGAUGAGCCUAGGUCGGAUUAGCUAGUUGGUGGGGUAAAGGCCUACCAAGGCGACGAUCCGUAACUGGUCUGAGAGGAUGAUCAGUCAACCUGGAACUGAGACCCGGUCCAGACUUCUACGGGAGGCCACAGUGGGGAAUUUUGGACAAAGGGCCAAAGCCUGAUCCAGCCAUGCCGGGGGUGUGAAGAAGGUCUUCGGAUUGUAAAGCACUUUAAGUUGGGAGGAAGGGCAGUAAGUUAAUACCUUGCUGUUUUGACGUUACCAACAGAAUAAGCACCGGCUAACUUCGUG